Misgurnus anguillicaudatus (oriental weatherfish) is the source of this 1118-nucleotide non-coding RNA. NCBI's taxonomy places the organism in Eukaryota, Metazoa, Chordata, Actinopteri, Cypriniformes, Cobitidae. The record is from RefSeq and is a predicted model, not a curated record.
AGCGAGUAUCGUUUUAUCACCCGCCCCUUCCCUCAGUUUAAAUCAUAACUGCAAAACGUACGUAAUCAUUUAAAAAUAGCCAAUCGUCACUCAAAGUUUUAUGAUUGAAUUCCGUUUAACGUUACGCAAGAUCAUGAUUCAUGAAAAACGAGCACCGCUUCCUUUUGCCUGGCCUGUUCUAAUGUUAAGUGUCAACGAGGGAACUUCCAGAGACGCAUUAUGAAACUUAACAGAAUGAUAAUCAAAGGUCUGUUGGCAUGUACAAGCGAGUGCAGAAUCCUUGGGCAUUCGGAUCGAUGCUGGAGUCCAUCUGUAAGCAGAAUUGGUGGAAUCAUUAAUCCCAGACAUCUCUCGACCUUCUCAAGGACACGACCGUCCUCACAGGGCACAAUGAACAGAAACAGCUGAGACUCAGACAUUCAGGAGCGCAGCCUUGCAGAGUCUUACAGAGGAUCAACAGACUCAAUAUGGUUACAUUUAUGUUUGUUCACCACAGUCACAGAGGAGACAAGAAGACAUUCUCAGUAUUCACACAUUCUAUAGACAACUGAUAAUUCAAUAUCAUGAUGUUUAGGUUGAUGUAUAUUUUGAGCUUCAACUGUAUUGUUUUGAUGUUUUGUAUAUACUUUUUGUGUACAUAAUACAUUAUUUUAACUCUUCAUAAGUGUUUACCAGCAAUUCCCCUCAAAACUGUUACGUUUGUAAUGCCAACUAACUCCAAUGGUAUUUGUAUGAUGACAAUGAUUGUCUAAAAAGUUUUUCAUGUAAGUUGUAAGAAGAGUGAAUGCUCAAAUUUCUAAUAAUCAUCAUUGUCAUGAUACUAAACCAUGGGAUUGUGUUGGCGUUAUGAAUGUGACAGUUUUGCAUGUUAUUGCCUUUAGUGUUAAUAAAGGACACUUCUCUUUAGGACAAUUACAGAUUACGGUACAUCGCUAAUGUUUUUCUGUAAGAUAUAUAAUAAAACUAUUGUUUGGUUUUGCUAUGUGUAGUCAAGUUGAAGGGGUGGGGGUAUGUUCAUGAGCUCACAGAAUAUAGUGUUGUAAGUGCUAGGCUGUAAAUUGAGCUAAAAAAAAUAUUGAUUUUGGAGUUUUUUUUUUAAUAACAACAGUACGUGGUGA